This 388-nucleotide long non-coding RNA is filed under the name Arachis ipaensis. RNAcentral describes it as "long non-coding RNA (AIPA_LNC001793)". The record is from RNAcentral. Lineage: Eukaryota; Viridiplantae; Streptophyta; Magnoliopsida; Fabales; Fabaceae.
AUUGAUUGAAGGAGAAAAGAAACUAUGGUGAUUGCAAAUAUCAAGCUUGAUGCUUCGUGUUUCACUUCAUGAAGGAAACCCAUUAUAGGCUUUGACUCUCUAAAAUUCGAAAGAGGGCCAUGCCCAAAUAAAAAUGAACUUUCCAAGAGAAUUACAAUCGACAAAAGGAAAUAAUAUCGUGAAAAAAUUAGAACCUUUAAAACUAGUACUAGUAUACAUGAAUAUGUUUAUUCUCAAUUUUUUUUCCCUCCAAAAAAUAUUUUGCUAUACUCCAAGCUAGCAAAAUUGAGAGAAUUGGAGUUUUAUUUUCUUGAGUGUUUCCACUGCAUUUUCUACUCUACUCAACUGCUGGAGCUUAGGCUGAUUCUAAACUUUUGACGAAUUUUUU